CCUACGGGGGGCAGCAGUGAGGAAUAUUGGUCAAUGGCCGAGAGGCUGAACCAGCCAAGUCGCGUGAAGGAUGAAUGUCCUAUGGAUUGUAAACUUCUUUUAUCAGGGAACAAAAUCAUCCACGUGUGGGUGUUUGUAUGUACCUGAAGAAAAAGCAUCGGCUAACUCCGUGCCAGCAGCCGCGGUAAUACGGAGGAUCCGAGCGUUAUCCGGAUUUAUUGGGUUUAAAGGGUGCGUAGGCGGUUUAUUAAGUCAGUGGUAAAAGCUUGGGGCUAAACACCAUCGAGCAGUUGAAACUGGCGGUCUUGAGUAGGCGAGAGGUAGGCGGAAUUCGUGGUGUAGCGGUGAAAUGCGUAGAUAUCGCGCAGAACUCCGAUUGCGAAGGCAGCAUACCGGCGUCCAACUGACGCUGAGGCACGAAAGCGUGGGUAUCGAACAGGAUUAGAUACCCGUGUAGUC
RNAcentral lists this ribosomal RNA (459 nucleotides) under uncultured bacterium. RNAcentral describes it as "partial 16S ribosomal RNA". It matches the Rfam family "Bacterial small subunit ribosomal RNA", at positions 338 to 795 of the family's 1533-position model. The record is from RNAcentral.